Molecule: ribosomal RNA, 468 nt
Filed under: uncultured bacterium
Lineage: Bacteria
Description: partial 16S ribosomal RNA
Rfam family: Bacterial small subunit ribosomal RNA
Source: RNAcentral
GACGAACGCUGGCGGCGUGCUUAACACAUGCAAGUCGAACGGAAAGGCCCUGCUUUUGUGGGGUGCUCGCGUGGCGAACGGGUGAGUAACACGUGAGUAACCUGCCCUUGACUUUGGGAUAACUUCAGGAAACUGGGGCUAAUACCGGAUAGGAGCUCCUGCUGCAUGGUGGGGGUUGGAAAGUUUCGGCGGUUGGGGAUGGACUCGCGGCUUAUCAGCUUGUUGGUGGGGUAGUGGCUUACCAAGGCUUUGACGGGUAGCCGGCCUGAGAGGGUGACCGGCCACAUUGGGACUGAGAUACGGCCGAGGCUCCUACGGGAGGCAGCAGUGGGGAAUAUUGCACAAGGGGCGGAAGCCUGAUGCAGCAACGCCGCGUGCGGGAUGACGGCCUUCGUGUUGUAAACCGCUUUCGCCUGUGACGAAGCGUGAGUGACGGUAAUGGGUAAAGAAGCACCGGCUUACUACGUG